This 715-nucleotide ribosomal RNA is filed under the name uncultured bacterium. RNAcentral's name for it is "bacterial SSU rRNA". It matches the Rfam family "Bacterial small subunit ribosomal RNA", at positions 8 to 767 of the family's 1533-position model. The record is from RNAcentral.
AGAGUUUGAUCCUGGCUCAGAACGAACGCUGGCGGCAGGCUUAAUACAUGCAAGUCGAACGGCUGUAGCAAUACAGCAGUGGCAGACGGGUGAGUAACACGUGGGAACCUACCUAGGGGUACGGAAUAACUCAGGGAAACUUGUGCUAAUACCGUAUACGACCUCAGGGUGAAAGAUUUAUCGCCCCUAGAUGGGCCCGCGUUGGAUUAGCUAGUUGGUGAGGUAAAAGCUCACCAAGGCGACGAUCCAUAGCUGGUCUGAGAGGAUGAUCAGCCACACUGGGACUGAGACACGGCCCAGACUCCUACGGGAGGCAGCAGUAGGGAAUCUUGGACAAUGGGCGAAAGCCUGAUCCAGCCAUGCCGCGUGAGUGAUGAAGGCCUUAGGGUUGUAAAGCCCUUUCGCCAGGGAAGAUAAUGACGGUACCUGGAUAAGAAGCCCCGGCUAACUUCGUGCCAGCAGCCGCGGUAAUACGAAGGGGGCUAGCGUUGUUCGGAAUUACUGGGCGUAAAGCGCACGUAGGCGGUUUUCCAAGUUGGAGGUGAAAUCCCCGGGCUUAACCUGNGAACUGCCUCCAAAACUGGAAAGCUCGAGUCCGAGAGAGGUGAGUGGAAUUUCCAGUGUAGAGGUGAAAUUCGUAGAUAUUGGAAAGAACACCAGUGGCGAAGGCGGCUCACUGGCUCGGUACUGACGCUGAGGUGCGACAGCGUGGGGG